This 73-nucleotide transfer RNA is filed under the name Chytriomyces confervae. It matches the Rfam family "tRNA". From Rfam's summary of the family: Transfer RNA (tRNA) molecules are approximately 80 nucleotides in length. Their secondary structure includes four short double-helical elements and three loops (D, anti-codon, and T loops). Lineage: Eukaryota; Fungi; Chytridiomycota; Chytridiomycetes; Chytridiales; Chytriomycetaceae. The record is from Rfam by way of RNAcentral.
GAGGGUGUAGCCAAAUGGUAAGGCAGCGUAGCUUUGGACUCGUGAUAUGUGAGUUCGAGUCUCACCACCCUCU